CUGUCGGGCAUUUCUCGCUCAAUGUUCACACAUCAUCGUGCUGCAGCCCUCCUUGGACCGCUCUAAGAUAGCGUACCUCAUCACGCUGAUGUCUGGGAGGGCUAAUGCCUGGGCUCCGGCAGAAUGGGAACAACAGUCGGCCGUAUGCUUCAGUCUGGAGGAGUUUGUGGCAGAGGAUGACUGCUUCCUGACACACCUGAGCCUGGCGAGAAAUUGCGGAGGGUAGCGUGCCAUGCGUCUGCCUGUCUGUCCCUCCAUGGUGUCUAUGGACCUGUACGGGAACCCAGCGGUGACCUAAGUGGGACUCUAAAGCCUCCUCUCCACCCAGCGACCUUUGACCGAUCUCAACCUCCAAGGUUGUCAGGUAGCCAGCCCCUGGGUCAGCUCUAGCCUGGAUGGCCAGUCAGAAUAGGUCCAGGACCUGCAACUGGGCUCCCAGAGGCUUAACAAACUGGACCGCGAGGCGCUGCAGCAGACCUGGGGCCAGAGAAGGCCCGGGGGCUGCUUCCUCUCCAGAGAUGCUAAGUGCCUGCUCACUACUGCCCCCUCACUGCCGGUGGUAGCUGAUCCCCUACAGGAAGGUGAGGUGCCGGAGGUCCCUCCGCCCCCUCUGGACAUUGGGGGGUCCCCGGCGUACAGCAUACGGGCCAUUUUGGACUCGAGACGCCGGGUGAGGGGCCUGCAGUACCUCGUGGACUGGGAGGGGUAUGGCCCGGAGGAGAGUUG
This 726-nucleotide long non-coding RNA is filed under the name Salmo salar (Atlantic salmon). RNAcentral's name for it is "lncRNA (ENSSSAG00000088122.1)". The record is from RNAcentral. Lineage: Eukaryota; Metazoa; Chordata; Actinopteri; Salmoniformes; Salmonidae.